RNAcentral lists this ribosomal RNA (471 nucleotides) under uncultured organism. RNAcentral describes it as "partial 16S ribosomal RNA". It matches the Rfam family "Bacterial small subunit ribosomal RNA", at positions 334 to 797 of the family's 1533-position model. The record is from RNAcentral.
CACUCCUACGGGAGGCAGCAGUGGGGAAUUUUGGACAAUGGGCGAAAGCCUGAUCCAGCAAUGCCGCGUGAGUGAAGAAGGCCUUCGGGUUGUAAAGCUCUUUUGUCAGGGAAGAAACGGUGAAAGCUAAUAUCUUUUGCUAAUGACGGUACCUGAAGAAUAAGCACCGGCUAACUACGUGCCAGCAGCCGCGGUAAUACGUAGGGUGCAAGCGUUAAUCGGAAUUACUGGGCGUAAAGCGUGCGCAGGCGGUUUUGUAAGUCUGAUGUGAAAUCCCCGGGCUCAACCUGGGAAUUGCAUUGGAGACUGCAAGGCUAGAAUCUGGCAGAGGGGGGUAGAAUUCCACGUGUAGCAGUGAAAUGCGUAGAUAUGUGGAGGAACACCGAUGGCGAAGGCAGCCCCCUGGGUCAAGAUUGACGCUCAUGCACGAAAGCGUGGGGAGCAAACAGGAUUAGAUACCCGAGUAGUCCC